This 500-nucleotide ribosomal RNA is filed under the name uncultured bacterium. Its description in RNAcentral is "partial 16S ribosomal RNA". It matches the Rfam family "Bacterial small subunit ribosomal RNA", at positions 30 to 523 of the family's 1533-position model. The record is from RNAcentral.
AUUGAACGCUGGCGGAAUGCUUUACACAUGCAAGUCGAACGGCAGCACGGACUUCGGUCUGGUGGCGAGUGGCGAACGGGUGAGUAAUGUAUCGGAACGUGCCCAGUCGUGGGGGAUAACGUAGUGAAAAUUACGCUAAUACCGCAUACGAUCUAUGGAUGAAAGCGGGGGAUCGCAAGACCUCGCGCGAUUGGAGCGGCCGAUAUCAGAUUAGGUAGUUGGUGGGGUAAAGGCCCACCAAGCCAACGAUCUGUAGCUGGUCUGAGAGGACGACCAGCCACACUGGAACUGAGACGCGGUCCAGACUCCUACGGGAGGCAGCAGUGGGGAAUUUUGGACAAUGGGCGAAGGCCUGAUCCAGCCAUUCCGCGUGCGGGAUGAAGGCCCUCGGGUUGUAAACUGCUUUUGUACAGAACGAAAAGGUUUCUACUAAUACUAGGAGCUCAUGACGGUACUGUAAGAAUAAGCACCGGCUAACUACGUGCCAGCCGCCGCAGUAA